RNAcentral lists this long non-coding RNA (370 nucleotides) under Canis lupus dingo (dingo). Its description in RNAcentral is "lncRNA (ENSCAFG00020007374.1)". Lineage: Eukaryota; Metazoa; Chordata; Mammalia; Carnivora; Canidae. The record is from RNAcentral.
CGCUCACGUGACGUGGAGCUGCAGAGCGACGCAGCCUUCGGUGCAGUCGUCACUCCCGUCUGGGUACCUGCUCCCCGGUGUCCUGCGCCCCGCGGGCUGGCGUCAGGCCCGAGGAAAGCGGAGCAGGUCUUCUCGUAGGCCUACAGUAGGGCUGUUUACCACUGGAAGCCAGGGAAAGGGGAAGACUGGCUUGGAACCAUGAAGGUUGGUUUGAAGGUGGGCAGCACUUGAGGAUAACAAGAGGAUCUGCCUGCAGGUCUGCUGUAGGGCUUGAGAUUACUGGAAGCAAAGAAACAAGGACGAAAUUGCCCCUGAUCAGUAUAGACUGGUAAGAGGAUGGGAACUGCCUGGGUAGAGCCGUAGGGUGGGU